Molecule: non-coding RNA, 154 nt
Organism: Aegilops tauschii subsp. strangulata
Lineage: Eukaryota; Viridiplantae; Streptophyta; Magnoliopsida; Poales; Poaceae
Source: RefSeq, a predicted model, not a curated record
CAAUCGCCAGGCACGCUGUUGUUGUUCUCUCGAUCUCCAUCCAUCAAACUUGGCUUAACCUACCACACUGCCCAAUCGAGCAAGGGCUGCCGCGAGCAGCGCAUCCUCCUCCGCAUCUUCUCUCUAACAGAUCCAACACAUCCUCCUCCUCCUC